UACGUAGGGGGCGAGCGUUACUCGGAAUUACUGGGCGUAAAGCGUGCGUAGGUGGUCUGUUAAGUCUGAUGUGAAAGCCCUGGGCUCAACCUGGGAAUUGCAUUGGAUACUGGCAGGCUAGAGUGCGGUAGAGGGUAGUGGAAUUCCCGGUGUAGCAGUGAAAUGCGUAGAGAUCGGGAGGAACACCAGUGGCGAAGGCGACUACCUGGACCAGCACUGACACUGAGGCACGAAAGCGUGGGGAGCAAACAGG
Molecule: ribosomal RNA, 253 nt
Filed under: uncultured bacterium
Lineage: Bacteria
Description: partial 16S ribosomal RNA
Rfam family: Bacterial small subunit ribosomal RNA
Source: RNAcentral